CAGAGUAACUUCUACAAUGGGAAAAAAGAAAGCAGGAGAGGCUAGUGUAGGCACUAAAGCCAAUGCAAGCAACAAAGAUGGAAAGAAAGAGAAAAUAUCUGUUGCAGCCUUGCUUGCCAACAUGGACCAGAAACCUGAUAAACCUAAAAAGGGAUCAACCUCUUCCUUGAGCACCGCCAAGGCAAAGGCUCCAAAAGUUUCAUCUUAUACUGAUGGAAUUGAUCUCCCUCCUUCUGAUGAAGAGGAUGAUUAUGCCUCUGAGGAUAAGCAGCAGCAGGCUGGGGCCAAAAGCAGACAGCAAAGGGGUGAUGUAAAGCCUCUUGAUAUCUCUGUAACAGACAAAGAACUCAAGAAACGAGAAAAGAAGGACUUGCUUGCUGCUCUUGCUGCAGAGCAAGCCAAAAAAGAGGCCCUUAAGGAUGACCAUGACGCAUUCACUGUUGUUAUUGGUAGCCGAGCUUCAGUUCUUGAAGGUGAAGAUGACGCAGAUGCGAAUGUCAAAGAUAUAACAAUAGAUAAUUUCUCUGUGUCAGCACGGGGGAAAGAACUCUUAAAAAAUGCAUCAGUGAAGAUAUCACAUGGAAAGAGAUAUGGUUUAGUUGGGCCUAAUGGGAUGGGCAAGUCCACGUUGUUAAAGCUUAUUGCUUGGAGGAAGAUUCCUGUACCUAAAAAUAUAGACGUGCUUCUGGUUGAACAAGAGGUGAUUGGUGAUGAUAAAACUGCUCUAGAAGCAGUUGUUGCUGCUAAUGAAGAGCUUGUCAAGAUUCGGCAAGAAGUUGCAUCCUUGCAAAAUUUAACUUUAGCUGCAGGUGAUGAGGAUGGAGAUGAUAUAAAUGGAAAUGAUGCAGGAGAGAAGCUUCCCGAGUUGUAUGAGAAAUUGCAGAUCUUGGGGUCAGAUGCUGCUGAGGCUCAGGCAUCAAAGAUUCUUGCUGGGCUUGGUUUCACCAGGGAAAUGCAGGGUCGUCCUACUAAAUCAUUUAGCGGUGGAUGGAGGAUGAGAAUUUCAUUGGCUAGGGCACUUUUUGUCCAGCCAACUCUUUUAUUGUUGGAUGAACCCACUAAUCACCUUGACCUCAGAGCUGUUCUAUGGUUAGAGGAGUACCUUUGCAGAUGGAAGAAAACACUUGUUGUUGUUUCUCAUGACAGGGAUUUCCUUAACACAGUAUGUAAUGAAAUUAUCCAUCUUCAUGACAUGAAGCUUCAUGUCUACCGAGGAAAUUUUGAUGAUUUUGAAAGUGGUUAUGAGCAGCGUCGCAAAGAGAUGAACAAGAAAUUUGAGAUUUAUGAUAAGCAGGUGAAAGCUGCGAAGAGAUCAGGAAACCGUGUACAGCAGGAAAAGGUUAAAGAUCGUGCAAAGUUUGCUGCUGCCAAGGAAGCAUCCAAGAGCAAGGCAAAGGGCAAGGUUGAAGACGAACCUCCACCAGAGGCUCCAAAGAAGUGGAAAGAUUACAGUGUGGAGUUCCACUUCCCUGAACCAACAGAGCUGACACCACCACUUUUGCAGCUGAUUGAAGUCAGCUUCAGUUAUCCCAACCGGGAGGAUUUCAGGCUCUCAAAUGUUGAUGUGGGCAUUGAUAUGGGUACCCGUGU
RNAcentral lists this unclassified non-coding RNA (1590 nucleotides) under Hevea brasiliensis (rubber tree). Lineage: Eukaryota; Viridiplantae; Streptophyta; Magnoliopsida; Malpighiales; Euphorbiaceae. The record is from RNAcentral.